UACGUAGGGUGCGAGCGUUGUCCGGAAUUAUUGGGCGUAAAGAGCUCGUAGGCGGCUUGUCGCGUCGGAUGUGAAAGCCCGGGGCUUAACUCCGGGUCUGCAUUCGAUACGGGCAGGCUAGAGUUCGGUAGGGGAGAUCGGAAUUCCUGGUGUAGCGGUGAAAUGCGCAGAUAUCAGGAGGAACACCGAUGGCGAAGGCAGCUCGCUGGGACGGUACUGACGCUGAGGCGCGAAAGCGUGGGGAGCGAACAGG
RNAcentral lists this ribosomal RNA (253 nucleotides) under uncultured bacterium. RNAcentral's name for it is "partial 16S ribosomal RNA". It matches the Rfam family "Bacterial small subunit ribosomal RNA", at positions 524 to 776 of the family's 1533-position model. The record is from RNAcentral.